This 254-nucleotide ribosomal RNA is filed under the name uncultured bacterium. Its description in RNAcentral is "partial 16S ribosomal RNA". It matches the Rfam family "Bacterial small subunit ribosomal RNA", at positions 524 to 776 of the family's 1533-position model. The record is from RNAcentral.
UACGUAGGGGGCAAGCGUUGUCCGGAUUUAUUGGGCGUAAAGAGCUCGUAGGUGGUUCGGUAAGUCGGAUGUGAAAUCUCCAGGCUCAACCUGGAGGGGUCAUUCGAUACUGCCGUGACUAGAGGUCGGUAGGGGAGUGUGGAAUUCCUGGUGGAGCGGUGAAAUGCGCAGAUAUCAGGAGGAACACCUAUAGCGAAGGCAGCUUGCUGGGACGACACUGACGCUGAGGCGCGAAAGCGUGGGGAGCGAACAGG